GAGUAACACGUGAGAAUUUACCCUUAGGAGGGGGAUAACAAUUGGAAACAAUUGCUAAAACCCCAUAUGCUUCCGAGUGAAAUAGAUUUAUCUGCCUAGGGAAAAGCUCGCGGCUGAUUAGCUAGUUGGUAGAGUAAUAGCCUACCAAGGCGACGAUCAGUAUCUGGUUUGAGAGGACGAUCAGACACACUGGAACUGAGACACGGUCCAGACUCCUACGGGAGGCAGCAGUGGGGAAUUUUCCGCAAUGGGCGAAAGCCUGACGGAGCAAUACCGCGUGAGGGAUUAAGGCCUGCGGGUCGUAAACCUCUUUUUUCAGGGAGGAAGAUAUGACGUGUACCUGAAGAAUAAGCAUCGGCUAACUCCGUGCCAGCAGCCGCGGUAAGACGGAGGAUGCAAGUGUUAUCCGGAAUCACUGGGCGUAAAGCGUCUGUAGGUGGUUUGAUAAGUCGGUUUGUUAAAAUCCAGAGGCUUCACUUCUAAAUCGCAUUCGAAACUAUCAGACUUGAGUAUAGUAGAGGUAAAGGGAAUUUCCAGUGGAGCGGAGAAAUGCGUAGAUAUUGGAAAGAACACCAAUUGCGAAGGCACUUUUACUUGGGCUUAUCACUGACACUCAGAGACGAAAGCUAGGGUUAGCAAAUGGGGAUUUAGAUACCCCAGUA
RNAcentral lists this ribosomal RNA (662 nucleotides) under uncultured bacterium. Its description in RNAcentral is "bacterial SSU rRNA". It matches the Rfam family "Bacterial small subunit ribosomal RNA", at positions 108 to 792 of the family's 1533-position model. The record is from RNAcentral.